AUGGGAGAGCAGAGGGAGGGACUGAGAGGGAGGAGCGAAGAUAUAGAAUUUAGUAAUGAUAAUAUUUGCCCUUCCUCCCUCACAGAAUUAAAUGCAAUGACUAAUGUGCAAUUUACCCUGCAAAUAUACUUUUCUGUUGCUAGUAUUCUCCUUUCCUGUUCGGAAGCAACCUAUCCCAUGGACAUUCCUUUCUGCCCCACAGGUUCUACUUGGUGGCGAGGAAGUGUUCCUAGCACGUGGAGUCUUGCAUCUGGCAGCACAGGUUUUAUCUUUACCAAUGAAGCACUUGAAACACUUUGCUGAGUCUUCACAACUGCUUUAGGAAUCAGAGACCCAAAGUUUCAGGAACCAUCAGGAAGGCUGGACUGAAUAAGGGAAGGAGGAAGAAAAAAAAAGAGCAGAAGCUAUGACUUAUCCUUCAAGCUUGGCUAGUUAUUUCCCCUGUCACCUCAUCAGGCAGAUAUAUUUAGACCCACCCUUGAAUUAAUAAGUGGUUUCCUGGGAAGGGUGAUUUAAAACUCUGGUGCUUGAAAUUCUGCUAUUAGUCCUGUAAAUUCCUUUAGAUUAAAAGUUAUUUGCUCUCAUGGGGCCUCUGGAAUGCAGUUUCCUCUGGAGUGCAGAUACCUCUGAGUGAAAUAAUGUAUCAGGUCCCUAAUACCUCAGUAUAUAAUUGAGUGUAUUAAAUCGCUUCCUUUGUUAUCUGAUGGGCAAGAUUGGACCCUGGGAAUUUAGAAGGCCAUGGAGAUCCCACUCAACUCAGCCCUGGCCAGCCUUGAAUGUGUACUUUUCUUCUAAGAAAUUCCAAUUGUUAUUGUUUUCCUAGAAGACAAUAAAAAAGACAUCCUGUUGAUGUCUAAAAGAACUGCAAAUGUAAAAAAUAAAAAGUAACAUUUUAAUUCGAUUUCUUUCCCAAGAACCAGAACAUCCUCCUGGCCUAUAACAUAGCCCUCACUUUACCCCUCUGGUGCUGGAGGCUUUUGUGUCUCAUUUUUAUUCGACUCACACAUGUCUGGGGAGAGGGCCCUCUGAGAUUUCAUCUUGGCUGUGCUUCAGGCUCCAUAAUAGGAAUGGAUCCACAUUUUUUAAUACAAGGAGGGCAGGUGGCAGCAAGCCAAAGUGGCCUCUGUGGAGUAUGUGUGCAGGAGUGGUGUUUUUAGUGUGCAUUGAAAAAUCAGGAGCCAGACAAGACAAAAGCCCAUGCUGGCAGUGUGCCCCUAUGAAGGGUAUCUGUACCAAGACUUAAAAAAAAAGGAAAUUAAUGCAUUUUCUUUUCUAUUGAAUUAAGUUCUGUACCAGCUUUUGUUCCUAGGUACACUGUGUGGAGUGUGUGUGUGUGUGUGUGUGUGUGUGUGUGUGUGUGUACAGACAUACACACAGACUAGUUGCUUCCAUAGCUGCCUGAAAAAUCACACAAGCAAGCUAUAGAACUUGAACCCAGAGUGUUAAGUGGGCAACUGAGUGAUCAUCUACAAGUCUUUCAAGAGGAAAGGAAGUAUCAUUGUCUUUGUUAAUAAUUUGUCUCCUUUUGAAGUUUACAAAUAUAUUUGUGUCAACCCAUAAUCCAAGAAUGUUAAUUAAUUGCCUAACUGGAUGAAUCUCUCUAUAAUAUGGAUUUAUUUUAAACACAAGUAGUUAGUAAGAAAUACUAAAAUUGAUUUGGAUGUGCAGUAAGUCCCAUUAUUCUGUGGUAUAGACCACACAUUCGAAAUGCAGUAUCACAUAAUUUCGCUCUCCAUUUCACAAGCCACUGUCCUUCACUGCAUAUAAUAGUGUAGUCCCAGAAGUGUGUAUGUAAGUUAAAUAUUUAAAAAAUAAAAUCAUAAUUUGAGUACUGUAAAAAAUUAAAAUGUUUGUGGCAAAAAUUUCCUUUCUGCAAAGUAUGAAUUAGGCAUGAUAGGGCUAUUGGCUUUGUUUAGCCAUUUUCCUUCUGAGGGUUUAGUUUUUAUAGCCACAAAAUUACAAUGUGAAUUGUAGCUUUGUCCUCCUGGGUUCUAAGAGCUUUUUGGUAGAGUGAAUAAUUACUCUUAACGUGUCCAUCGGCUUUUUAAAAUGUGGAGAUUUUGCUCUGUACUACCUAAGGACAGGUUCUCCUGAAUUGGGACUAACAGGUUGUCUGAAGUCAUCACUCAUUUCCUUUAUUUUUUUGGAAAGAGGCCUAAGGGAUGAGGUUAUGAAAGUGCAUACAAAUCAACAAGAAGACACAGACAGGAAGAAAAGUAGUGACACCUGUCAGCAUUUUCUCCUAGUUUGGUCCUGAAAAGCAGAAGCGGAGUCCUCACAGCUUUGUGCACUGCCUUGUAAGCAUGGGACACACAGCCAUGGGUCACAGCCCAGAGCCCUUCCUGCAAGCCCAGCAGGCCUCUCAGGCAAUCAGUUGAGCUAUAGUUGUGCUGUUUCUCCGCAGGACAGGAGUCUGAACUGUGAGUUUUAGGAAGUGAAUUCACAGGGACAAAGAUGGGCAGGGCUCCCUAGUCUUUACCUUGUGACUUCUCCUCAAGCCCAAAAGUUUCCUGAAUGAGUUUUUUCCUUAGUAUUUCUGUUGUGGGAAAUGAAAGGCCUCUUCCUUUGUGAAUAAAAAUUAAACAAUUUUUUAGUAUUGUCACUUUUGGUGGUAUAAACCCAUUCUUCAGGAAAGGGCAUAUUGGCUAGGAAUAUUUAUUAACAUAUUUUGAAAAGGAUUGACAGCAGAAUAUGACCUACCUCCAAAUCACAAAUUACUCAAUUUCAGAAGCAUAACCAUACCAUUUACAAAAAACAAAUUGGUUUAAUGUCCAUUUUCUAAGCGUUAACUCAAUGUCAGCAGUGUGCUAGAAGUAGAUGAAACCUUUCUUGCCAUAUUUAAUACUCCUGGAUGACUCCUUAGAGUGUGAACUCUAUUUUCCAGAGCCA
RNAcentral lists this long non-coding RNA (2889 nucleotides) under Fukomys damarensis (Damara mole-rat). RNAcentral's name for it is "lncRNA (ENSFDAG00000030464.1)". The record is from RNAcentral. Lineage: Eukaryota; Metazoa; Chordata; Mammalia; Rodentia; Bathyergidae.